AGGGUGAUAAGUUAAAUAAACUACGGGGUUCAUGUCCCCAUAAUAUACUUUUGUAUUCUUCCUA
Molecule: transfer RNA, 64 nt
Filed under: Schyzocotyle acheilognathi
Lineage: Eukaryota; Metazoa; Platyhelminthes; Cestoda; Bothriocephalidea; Bothriocephalidae
Description: tRNA-Met
Source: RNAcentral